AUGAACGCUGGCGGCGUACCUAAUCCAUGCAAGUCGAGCGAACAGAUGAGGAGCUUGCUCCUCUGACGUUAGCGGCGGACGGGUGAGUAACACGUGGAUAACCUACCUAUAAGACUGGGAUAACUUCGGGAAACCGGAGCUAAUACCGGAUAAUAUAUUGAACCGCAUGGUUCAAUAGUGAAAGACGGUUUUGCUGUCACUUAUAGAUGGAUCCGCGCCGCAUUAGCUAGUUGGUAAGGUAACGGCUUACCAAGGCAACGAUGCGUAGCCGACCUGAGAGGGUGAUCGGCCACACUGGAACGGAGACACGGUCCAGACUCCUACGGGAGGCAGCAGUAGGGAAUCUUCCGCAAUGGGCGAAAGCCUGACGGAGCAACGCCGCGUGAGUGAUGAAGGUCUUCGGAUCGUAAAACUCUGUUAUUAGGGAAGAACAAAUGUGUAAGUAACUAUGCACGUCUUGACGGUACCUAAUCAGAAAGCCACGGCUAACUACGUG
RNAcentral lists this ribosomal RNA (496 nucleotides) under uncultured bacterium. Its description in RNAcentral is "partial 16S ribosomal RNA". It matches the Rfam family "Bacterial small subunit ribosomal RNA", at positions 29 to 507 of the family's 1533-position model. The record is from RNAcentral.